This is a long non-coding RNA of Pleuronectes platessa (European plaice), 191 nucleotides long. RefSeq lists it as uncharacterized. Lineage: Eukaryota; Metazoa; Chordata; Actinopteri; Pleuronectiformes; Pleuronectidae. The transcript has 3 exons. The record is from RefSeq and is a predicted model, not a curated record.
GAGGAAUAAAGGCUGUGAGAGUGGAUAGUAGGACAUACAAACAGGUCUUGGCACUUUUCCAACGUGACGUACUCGUGAGAAGCUGUGACCCUGUUUCGUUGAAUCAGCAGGGAUUCAAGUUUUGUCUAAGACUUUGUAUCAGAGAUUUGCAGCAUCACCUCCUGAGCUUCUCAGCGACAUGAUCGAGUCGG